Molecule: ribosomal RNA, 460 nt
Filed under: uncultured bacterium
Lineage: Bacteria
Description: partial 16S ribosomal RNA
Rfam family: Bacterial small subunit ribosomal RNA
Source: RNAcentral
CCUACGGGUGGCUGCAGUGAGGAAUAUUGGUCAAUGGGCGCAAGCCUGAACCAGCCAAGUCGCGUGAGGGAAUACGGCCCUACGGGUUGUAAACCUCUUUUGUCGGGGAGCAAGCCUGAGCACGGGUGCCCAGGCGGAGAGUACCUGGAGAAAAAGCAUCGGCUAACUCCGUGCCAGCAGCCGCGGUCAUACGGGGGAUGCGAGCGUUAUCCGGAUUUAUGGGGUUUACAGGGUGCGCAGGCGGGCUGUUAAUCAGGCGGUAAAAAUUCAGGGCUCAACCCUGUCGAGCCGUCGGAACUGGCAGUCUUUAGUGGGCGAGAAGUAUGCGGAAUGCGUGGUGUAGCGGUGAAAUGCAUAGAUAUCACGCAGAACGCCGAUUGCGAAGGCAGCAUACCGGCGCCCGACUGACGCUGAGGCACGAAAGCGUGGGGAUCGAACAGGAUUAGAUACCCCAGUAGUC